GAUGAAGAACGUAGCGAAAUGCGAUACUUGGUGUGAAUUGCAGAAUCCCGUGAACCAUCGAGUUUUUGAACGCAAGUUGCGCCCGAAGCCGUUAGGCCGAGGGCACGCCUGCCUGGGUGUCACACAUCGUUGCCCCAAUGCCAAUCGCCUCACUUUGUAGGUAUUUGCUUGGGGUGAAUGUUGGCCUCCCGUGAGCUUUGUCUCACGGUUGGUUGAAAAUCGAGUCCUUGGUAGGGUGUGCCAUGAUAGAUGGUGGUCGAGUUUGCACGAGACCGAUCAUGUGUGCGCUCCCCAAAAUAUGGACUCUUUGACCCCACACGCGUCUUUUGAUGCUCAUGACGAGACCUCAGGUCAGGCGGGGCUACCCGCUGAGUUUAAGCAUAUCAAUAAGCGGAGGA
RNAcentral lists this unclassified non-coding RNA (398 nucleotides) under soil metagenome. RNAcentral describes it as "partial contains 5.8S ribosomal RNA, internal transcribed spacer 2, and large subunit ribosomal RNA". The stretch from base 1 to 122 matches the Rfam family "5.8S ribosomal RNA", at positions 35 to 154 of the family's 154-position model. The record is from RNAcentral.